Molecule: ribosomal RNA, 301 nt
Filed under: uncultured bacterium
Lineage: Bacteria
Description: partial 16S ribosomal RNA
Rfam family: Bacterial small subunit ribosomal RNA
Source: RNAcentral
CAGUAGCCGCGGUAAUACGUAGGUGGCAAGCGUUGUCCGGAAUUAUUGGGCGUAAAGGGCUUGCAGGCGGUUUCUUAAGUCUGAUGUGAAAGCCCCCGGCUCAACCGGGGAGGGUCAUUGGAAACUGGGAAACUUGAGUGCAGAAGAGGAGAGUGGAAUUCCACGUGUAGCGGUGAAAUGCGUAGAGAUGUGGAGGAACACCAGUGGCGAAGGCGACUCUCUGGUCUGUAACUGACGCUGAGGAGCGAAAGCGUGGGGAGCGAACAGGAUUAGAUACCCGGGUAGUCCCUGUCUCUUAUAC